RNAcentral lists this ribosomal RNA (2903 nucleotides) under Salmonella enterica subsp. enterica. Its description in RNAcentral is "23S ribosomal RNA". It matches the Rfam family "Bacterial large subunit ribosomal RNA". The record is from RNAcentral. Lineage: Bacteria; Pseudomonadati; Pseudomonadota; Gammaproteobacteria; Enterobacterales; Enterobacteriaceae.
UUAAGCGACUAAGCGUACACGGUGGAUGCCCUGGCAGUCAGAGGCGAUGAAGGGCGUGCUAAUCUGCGAUAAGCGCCGGUAAGGUGAUAUGAACCGUUAUAACCGGCGAUACCCGAAUGGGGAAACCCAGUGUGACUCGUCACACUAUCAUUAACUGAAUCCAUAGGUUAAUGAGGCGAACCGGGGGAACUGAAACAUCUAAGUACCCCGAGGAAAAGAAAUCAACCGAGAUUCCCCCAGUAGCGGCGAGCGAACGGGGAGGAGCCCAGAGCCUGAAUCAGCAUGUGUGUUAGUGGAAGCGUCUGGAAAGGCGCGCGAUACAGGGUGACAGCCCCGUACACAAAAGCGCAUGUGCUGUGAGCUCGAUGAGUAGGGCGGGACACGUGGUAUCCUGUCUGAAUAUGGGGGGACCAUCCUCCAAGGCUAAAUACUCCUGACUGACCGAUAGUGAACCAGUACCGUGAGGGAAAGGCGAAAAGAACCCCGGCGAGGGGAGUGAAAAAGAACCUGAAACCGUGUACGUACAAGCAGUGGGAGCACCCUUUUGGGUGUGACUGCGUACCUUUUGUAUAAUGGGUCAGCGACUUAUAUUCUGUAGCAAGGUUAACCGAAUAGGGGAGCCGUAGGGAAACCGAGUCUUAACCGGGCGUUAAGUUGCAGGGUAUAGACCCGAAACCCGGUGAUCUAGCCAUGGGCAGGUUGAAGGUUGGGUAACACUAACUGGAGGACCGAACCGACUAAUGUUGAAAAAUUAGCGGAUGACCUGUGGCUGGGGGUGAAAGGCCAAUCAAACCGGGAGAUAGCUGGUUCUCCCCGAAAGCUAUUUAGGUAGCGCCUCGUGAAUUCAUCUCCGGGGGUAGAGCACUGUUUCGGCUAGGGGGCCAUCCCGGCUUACCAACCCGAUGCAAACUGCGAAUACCGGAGAAUGUUAUCACGGGAGACACACGGCGGGUGCUAACGUCCGUCGUGAAGAGGGAAACAACCCAGACCGCCAGCUAAGGUCCCAAAGUCAUGGUUAAGUGGGAAACGAUGUGGGAAGGCCCAGACAGCCAGGAUGUUGGCUUAGAAGCAGCCAUCAUUUAAAGAAAGCGUAAUAGCUCACUGGUCGAGUCGGCCUGCGCGGAAGAUGUAACGGGGCUAAACCAUGCACCGAAGCUGCGGCAGCGACGCUUAUGCGUUGUUGGGUAGGGGAGCGUUCUGUAAGCCUGUGAAGGUGGCCUGUGAGGGUUGCUGGAGGUAUCAGAAGUGCGAAUGCUGAAUAAGUAACGAUAAAGCGGGUGAAAAGCCCGCUCGCCGGAAGACCAAGGGUUCCUGUCCAACGUUAAUCGGGGCAGGGUGAGUCGACCCCUAAGGCGAGGCCGAAAGGCGUAGUCGAUGGGAAACGGGUUAAUAUUCCCGUACUUGGUGUUACUGCGAAGGGGGGACGGAGAAGGCUAUGUUGGCCGGGCGACGGUUGUCCCGGUUUAAGCGUGUAGGUGUGUGUUCCAGGUAAAUCCGGUUCACUUUAACACUGAGGCGUGAUGACGAGGCACUACGGUGCUGAAGCAACAAAUGCCCUGCUUCCAGGAAAAGCCUCUAAGCAUCAGGUAACAUCAAAUCGUACCCCAAACCGACACAGGUGGUCAGGUAGAGAAUACCAAGGCGCUUGAGAGAACUCGGGUGAAGGAACUAGGCAAAAUGGUGCCGUAACUUCGGGAGAAGGCACGCUGACACGUAGGUGAAGUGAUUUACUCACGGAGCUGAAGUCAGUCGAAGAUACCAGCUGGCUGCAACUGUUUAUUAAAAACACAGCACUGUGCAAACACGAAAGUGGACGUAUACGGUGUGACGCCUGCCCGGUGCCGGAAGGUUAAUUGAUGGGGUCAGCGCAAGCGAAGCUCCUGAUCGAAGCCCCGGUAAACGGCGGCCGUAACUAUAACGGUCCUAAGGUAGCGAAAUUCCUUGUCGGGUAAGUUCCGACCUGCACGAAUGGCGUAAUGAUGGCCAGGCUGUCUCCACCCGAGACUCAGUGAAAUUGAACUCGCUGUGAAGAUGCAGUGUACCCGCGGCAAGACGGAAAGACCCCGUGAACCUUUACUAUAGCUUGACACUGAACAUUGAGCCUUGAUGUGUAGGAUAGGUGGGAGGCUUUGAAGUGUGGACGCCAGUCUGCAUGGAGCCGACCUUGAAAUACCACCCUUUAAUGUUUGAUGUUCUAACGUGGACCCGUAAUCCGGGUUGCGGACAGUGUCUGGUGGGUAGUUUGACUGGGGCGGUCUCCUCCUAAAGAGUAACGGAGGAGCACGAAGGUUGGCUAAUCCUGGUCGGACAUCAGGAGGUUAGUGCAAUGGCAUAAGCCAGCUUGACUGCGAGCGUGACGGCGCGAGCAGGUGCGAAAGCAGGUCAUAGUGAUCCGGUGGUUCUGAAUGGAAGGGCCAUCGCUCAACGGAUAAAAGGUACUCCGGGGAUAACAGGCUGAUACCGCCCAAGAGUUCAUAUCGACGGCGGUGUUUGGCACCUCGAUGUCGGCUCAUCACAUCCUGGGGCUGAAGUAGGUCCCAAGGGUAUGGCUGUUCGCCAUUUAAAGUGGUACGCGAGCUGGGUUUAGAACGUCGUGAGACAGUUCGGUCCCUAUCUGCCGUGGGCGCUGGAGAACUGAGGGGGGCUGCUCCUAGUACGAGAGGACCGGAGUGGACGCAUCACUGGUGUUCGGGUUGUCAUGCCAAUGGCACUGCCCGGUAGCUAAAUGCGGAAGAGAUAAGUGCUGAAAGCAUCUAAGCACGAAACUUGCCCCGAGAUGAGUUCUCCCUGAGACUUAGAGUCUCCUGAAGGAACGUUGAAGACGACGACGUUGAUAGGCCGGGUGUGUAAGCGCAGCGAUGCGUUGAGCUAACCGGUACUAAUGAACCGUGAGGCUUAACCUU